RNAcentral lists this unclassified non-coding RNA (501 nucleotides) under Heracleum yungningense. RNAcentral describes it as "partial external transcribed spacer". Lineage: Eukaryota; Viridiplantae; Streptophyta; Magnoliopsida; Apiales; Apiaceae. The record is from RNAcentral.
UUCUUCCAGCAGGCUUAUCUUUGAGACAAGCAUAUGACUACUGGCAGGAUCAACCAGGUAGCAUCUUUUUGCCGCCGGCACCGUAUGAGCGAGGACAAUUACUAUCCUCCCGUCAACACAAGGCACGUCAGGCUUUCGUAAGGGACAAUUGAUUCGGGCAAAAAGGGACAAAGUCCCCGACCGAUCUUUGCUUCUACAUACAAGACUUCGAGCAACCCUUGGGCGUCCAAUGCCUGCUAGCUAAAUAAGAAAAGCAAGAGCAGACGUCCAUGGGUGCUAACUUGUCUACGUCGCACAAAACCUUUUAGCACGAGAUAGAGUAUGGAUCGUGGGACUAGAGAAUUCCGUCAAAAUAGGUAUGCUGCACAGGGGGCCAAGGCAGUCCAAGGUAAAAGAUUUAGCACUCAAACAGAAUUGAACAGGUGUGAACUAGGGAUUGUCGCUGCCAGGGCAGGGAACCAACCAACCGGAACAUACCAAUCACCACUCACACGCCCAUAA